UUUAGUUAAAUCAGUAUCAUACAACUGAUGACCAAAGUAGAAAGAUGUAGAGAAAUAUUGUUAAAUACUGGUUGGAUUAUCAUUCAUUGUCAAGUAAUAAUGAGUGUCUGUCUUCGUCUGUUCCUGAUUCAGGUCUGUCUUCAGCUGCUGGAGCAGGGAUAUGUGUUGUUGUUGUUCUGCUGAUAGUGACUGCUGCAGCUGCUGCUGUGAUUUACUAUCGCAAGCGUCCUCAAGCAGGGCAAUGAUCAGGAACCAGGACUCAGAGCAGUGAUCAGUUGAAUAGUGUUACAUACACCUCCGUUUAAUCUUGCUGACAAUGGAUUGGAGCCUGCUGCUACUGAGCCGCCCCGUGAUGGAAAAGUGAAUACCAGUGAGACAUCAGGUUGAUGUUGAGCUAUGAUGGCAAGUUCAGUUUGUAGAAGAUUAUUAAAGUUUGUGACACUGUCACACAGGACACUUGUCACUGCUCAAUAUAUUAUAAUGAUUUUAUGUAUAUUUGAAUGUAUAUUCCAAAUGGAAGUGAUCAUCCCUAACCCCUUGGAGAGUGGACUUUGGAGUGAGCAGAGCAUGUGUGUGCCAUUAUGUAGUCGUUUGGAAUGCACUUGACAGGGAGUGAUGUAAUUUCCUCAUUAUCUUCAGCUGGGAUGUUUCCAUGACAAAACAGCACAGUGUCGUCAGCAGAUUCGCUGAUGGUCACCAGCAUAAAAAAAAAGAUAAAUGUAAUUUUUUUUUAAGUUUUAUAUAUAUAUUAUUUUUAUAUAUUAUAUAGCAUAUUUUAAAAACUUUGUAAAAUAAAAAUUGCAUGUUUUUUUGCAACAGUUAUUCUAACAACAAUAAAAAGACAUUUCUGACAUUGAAACAGCGACACCGUGCUGCGCUGUUACGGGUGUUAAUCAUGCAGACAGUGGAUUUGCAAGUGAAGUUUGCACUGUGUGACCGAGCGGCAACCUCGCGCUCUCUCUUGUGAAGCCAAUAAGGAAGUGACUAAAACUGCAAUUCAUCGACUGGCCACUUGAGGCUGGCUGCAAAAGGGAGUCAGUCCCAUAGACUCCCCAUGUUAAAAUGCCCAACUUCACAGCAGAAAAAAACAUGUUUACAGCCUGGUUCAAAAAAUGAUUUUGGUCUAUAUAGCUAAAUUUGCCCUUCAUGACAACUGUGAGGGGGGUGAAUUUUUUUAUAACUCAUCCGUUUAAAUUAUAUUAAGCCUUAAAGUUCUGCAUAAUUAAGGGCGUGGCCACUUGAGUGACAGGUGGAUUGCCGCUGCUGACAAUGCCGUCGCGCUAGGUGGGCGUGGCUUCAGCAACCAGCUCCCGCCUUUUUGCCCAUUUUCGAUUUUCCGGGAGAGUCGCGCGGUGACGCGCUGCCAAGAUGGCGACGGCCCGCUCUGAAGACUUUGAGCUUCAAAACCGCUAUUGAGGAGUCUAUGGGUGACGUCACGGACACUACGUCCAUAUUUUUUUACAGUCUAUGUGUGUGACGAACCAUAAAUAUUCCACCCCUUCCAUGCCCAUAUCUGGAUAGGAAACAAAUUGGUGAAAAUUAUAAAAGAGAGAUAAAAGAUGGAAAGAGGAGUGUGAAUUACCUGAAUACGGGACUGGGUUCUGUGACGAGCUGCAGAUCAGUGGUGUUUUCUCUGCUGAAGAGUCUUGUCAAGUUCAGUAGUUCUUCUCGAUGCUGCAUUUUAAAAAAUAUGUUCCCCUGAACUUCAUCCAGUCUUGUUAUUGGUUGUGAUUUAAAGGGUUCUAAUUUUCUUUUAAUCUUAUGUAACUGGUGGAAUCAUUUAUCUGUUGAUAUGUGUAAACCUGCCUAGCAUCCGAAUUUAUUGUAAUUAGCUAAAAAUGUGAAAAAUAUUUUGGGUUGGGCCACCACUUUUAAAACGGCUUAUAAUGUAGGUGUUGUUACUGGUAUCAUUGCAGUUACUUUAUAAGACUGUUACACAUAUGUUUCCAGUGUCUAUAGCUUUCCAAACUAUUUUUUUUGUAUGACUUUUCAUCAAGAAAGACUGUUAGGUUAAAUAUGAACAGCAUAGGUUUUUAUAUUUACAAUAGCAUCAAACUAGAAUUAACCAUCCAUUGAUUUAUUUAAUAUUAGUUAACGGAAUACUUUCCUGAGAGAACAGUUAUGUUUCACACAUGUAACUGUACACAUAAAUUAAACAGACUGUGUUGAAUGUUGGAAUCCGCCUUGGAAAGAAGAGCCACAAAAUCCCUUAGGACUCCACACACAGUCCGCUCUCUCUUCAAACUGUUGACUCCUGGUCGGUAUUACAGAGCACCGAACAGUUUUUUUUCUUCCCUCACAGGCUAUAUAAAUAAUAAUAAAACAAGAAAACGUUCAUAACUAGCAUUUAUACAUAGCAUCUGAACAUUGUACAUUGUAAACUGAACACUUGUAAAUACUUGUAAAUAACAUAUCUGUACAUUAUCAACUGUACGUUGUUUUUUUUCCCUCUAUAUCUCUGCUUAUGUAUAUAGUGCAUUAUUUAAUUUUAUGUUUUCUUAUAUUAGUGUUAUAUACCAUCUCUACUGUGUAAUUCCUAUGUAUGUCUGCACUAUCAUUUAUGUUUGCACUAUGUUCGUACUUUCUUCUGCACUGGAAAUCAAAUUCCAAGUACACAACUAGUUUACAUCAAUGUUUUUAGUUUGU
This is a long non-coding RNA of Cyprinus carpio carpio, 2646 nucleotides long. The record is from Ensembl. NCBI's taxonomy places the organism in Eukaryota, Metazoa, Chordata, Actinopteri, Cypriniformes, Cyprinidae.